This 686-nucleotide long non-coding RNA is filed under the name Elaeis guineensis (African oil palm). Its description in RNAcentral is "long non-coding RNA (EGUI_LNC004644)". The record is from RNAcentral. Lineage: Eukaryota; Viridiplantae; Streptophyta; Magnoliopsida; Arecales; Arecaceae.
CAAUCAACUAAGGCUGUAAACACAAAAUUAGCCUCCACUGUGUUUGAAAAUAAAUGAGCAGUAAUGUUUAUUUGGAACUAUGACGCCACAUGACUGCCCACAACUAGGUUUCAAUUUGAUAUCUGGUAGCCGGUGUAGGUCAUCCAUUGUGGUUCCUGGUGAUUGGUUAUUCUUGUUGAUUGUUACAGUCAAUAUUAAAUGAUCAGGCAGUUUAGGUGACAGUAGUGGUCGGCUAUAGUGAUUGAGCCUGUUUUUUUUUUGGGUACAAUAGCGAUUGAACCUUUGAUUAGAAAAGAUGGAAGGUAAUUGAAUAUGGUCAAGGUGGAAUCAUGCAAUCAAGCUUGGAUGCAUGGCAAUGACUUAAUAAGUCUUGCAUAUGUGAGAACAUGAGAUGAAGCAUCGAGUUAUUUACUUAAUUGGAGUCUGCUUAAGCUUCUUAGCCAUGCAAUGAACGGAUGGUCAAAAUGAUCAGAACUUCUCAUUCUUUUCUAAUCAAUUGAGCCUCCCCAAGGUUGCAGUCAUUCUCUGGCCCCAAGAACCAUCUUGCUCCCCCAAGUGCUGCAUACCAGAAAGCGAAUCUGCCUACAGUGAAUGACAGGGUCCUGGUGAUUCAGAAUAUUGUGGGGAAUCAAGUGUUGAAAAUGCUAAGCCCAAAGAAACCACCUAUUCUAGACACAAAAUGGGGU